This 301-nucleotide ribosomal RNA is filed under the name uncultured bacterium. RNAcentral describes it as "partial 16S ribosomal RNA". It matches the Rfam family "Bacterial small subunit ribosomal RNA", at positions 509 to 807 of the family's 1533-position model. The record is from RNAcentral.
CAGUCGCCGCGGUAAAACGUAGGUGGCAAGCGUUGUCCGGAAUUAUUGGGCGUAAAGGGCUCGCAGGCGGUUUCUUAAGUCUGAUGUGAAAGCCCCCGGCUCAACCGGGGAGGGUCAUUGGAAACUGGGAAACUUGAGUGCAGAAGAGGAGAGUGGAAUUCCACGUGUAGCGGUGAAAUGCGUAGAGAUGUGGAGGAACAUCAGUGGCGAAGGCGACUCUCUGGUCUGUAACUGACGCUGAGGAGCGAAAGCGUGGGGAGCGAACAGGAUUAGAUACCCCAGUAGUCCCUGUCUCUUAUAC